AGGACGAACGCUGGCGGCGUGCUUAACACAUGCAAGUCGAGCGGAAAGGCCCUUCGGGGUACUCGAGCGGCGAACGGGUGAGUAACACGUGAGCAACCUGCCCUUAGCUUCGGGAUAGCUCCGGGAAACCGGAAUUAAAUACCGAAUAUGAUUUUUGCUGACAUCAGCAGAAGUGGAAAGUUUUUCGGCUAGGGAUGGACUCGCGGCCUAUCAGCUAGUUGGUGAGGUAACGGCCCACCAAGGCGACGACGGGGUA
RNAcentral lists this ribosomal RNA (256 nucleotides) under uncultured bacterium. RNAcentral describes it as "partial small subunit ribosomal RNA". It matches the Rfam family "Bacterial small subunit ribosomal RNA", at positions 26 to 285 of the family's 1533-position model. The record is from RNAcentral.